GAGGACACAGGUUUAAGGUGAGGGAGGGUAGAGAUUGAAGAGGGACCUCGGGGCAAUUUUUUCACUCACAGGGUAGUCCGUCUCGGGAACGGGCUGCCUGAGGAAGCUGUAGAAACAAGUAGAAUGAC
Long non-coding RNA from Amblyraja radiata (thorny skate), 128 nucleotides. RefSeq lists it as uncharacterized. The transcript has 3 exons. The record is from RefSeq and is a predicted model, not a curated record. Lineage: Eukaryota; Metazoa; Chordata; Chondrichthyes; Rajiformes; Rajidae.